AUCCAGAUGACGAGUCCAAAACAGGACGAAAUGAGCAUCCUAGAU
This 45-nucleotide non-coding RNA is filed under the name Trichobilharzia regenti. Lineage: Eukaryota; Metazoa; Platyhelminthes; Trematoda; Strigeidida; Schistosomatidae. The record is from RNAcentral.